Molecule: ribosomal RNA, 380 nt
Filed under: uncultured eukaryote
Lineage: Eukaryota
Description: partial 18S ribosomal RNA
Rfam family: Eukaryotic small subunit ribosomal RNA
Source: RNAcentral
CAAUAGCGUAUAUUAAAGUUGUUGCAGUUAGAACGCUCGUAGUCGGAUUUCGGGGCGGGCCGACCGGUCUGCCGAUGGGUACGCACUGGUCGGCGCGUCCUUCCUUCCGGAGACCGUGCCUACUCUUAACUGAGCGGGGGCGGGAGACGGAUCGUUUACUUUGAAAAAAUCAGAGUGUUUCAAGCAGGCAGCUCGCUCUUGCAUGGAUUAGCAUGGGAUAAUGAAAUAGGACUUUGGUGCUAUUUUGUUGGUUUCGAACACCGAAGUAAUGAUAAAUAGGGACAGUCAGGGGCACUCGUAUUCCGCCGAGAGAGGUGAAAUUCUCAGACCAGCGGAAGACGAACCACUGCGAAAGCAUUUGCCAGGGAUGUUUUCACUGA